GUUGGAAAAAAAAAAUUAGUUUUGACUUCUUUGAAAAAUGAAUGCACUCAAAAUUUCUGUAUUUAUUUAUUUAAGAUGUGCGCUUCUGUAUUUAAUUCCGUAUGUAGGAGGAGGAGGCCUCCGAUGUGUUGACUGUCGACAUUAUUUAUAUAACUGCAAUGUUAGCAGAGAUCUUUUGAACGCAGGACAUAAUGAAGAUAGUAUAGUGGAUUUACUACCAAAUGAGAAACCAGAUCGAACUUAUAAGAAAUGCUUAUUGCCCGGUAAAAAAGUAUCUGGGCCGAUUUUCAGUACUGUGUGUUCUGCUACCAAAGACAGAACCUGUGGCGUGUUAGAUACUCGUAGAAAUGUCCUUGUGAAAGGCAUCCAAUAUCAGUGUAGAUAUUGUGCUGCGCCUUGCAAAUGCAAGUUUCGUGGCGGAAAAGCAUCGAAUAUGAAAAAGGACGCUAAACUGAUUAUAUGUUCAAGCCUGUUUCUUUCUUUGACGUUAAUUAAUAAUCCGAUUUUAUAACAUAAAU
This is a long non-coding RNA of Drosophila arizonae, 518 nucleotides long. RefSeq lists it as uncharacterized. The record is from RefSeq and is a predicted model, not a curated record. Lineage: Eukaryota; Metazoa; Arthropoda; Insecta; Diptera; Drosophilidae.